Mesocricetus auratus (golden hamster) is the source of this 1399-nucleotide long non-coding RNA. RefSeq lists it as uncharacterized. Lineage: Eukaryota; Metazoa; Chordata; Mammalia; Rodentia; Cricetidae. The record is from RefSeq and is a predicted model, not a curated record. The transcript has 2 exons.
AGCGCGUUCAACUUUAGUCCAGAAAGAAGAAACUGCGCUUCGGGGGGUUCAGGUUCUCCUCAACCAGGCUUGGUAGUUUGGAUUUGCAGGACAGCCAGCCCAGAUCGCGUAGUUAAGAGUGCUAUAGGUCUUUAGGACCCUUGAAAGGAGGCGAAUUUAUGGCCACAGGGAGUAGCGAAAGUGGAGCUCCGCUGCAGCAGGGCUGCGCUAGUCCCGCCAAGCUAGGAGGAGCAGGACACCUGGGGCACGCUCUCUAGCCUAAACCCGGAAUAUAAAUGUGCCCGGGCUUAGCAGGCAAAACUAGGGCUGCAGCCACAGGGCUGGACGGACUGUUUCAGCUGCGGAUUACCCACUUUUUCUGGUUCUUAGUUCUAGGAGGUCCUCGGUACGAGUGCCGGGAGUUAGAGAGGCGCUCUAGGAAACUCAAGUUCACUGUGGCGGUGGUCUUGCCUGUCACCUAAAGCAGGCACCCCCAACGCCAUUGAAGAAACUCCCCCCCCCAGAUCUGGUCCGGAAGGAAGUCAUGAGCCUUUCGGCGCGGCAGGAGUUUCUGCCACAUCUCCCCUGGGACCGGGAGAGGAAGAAAGGAGGCGCAGGCCGUACCCAGACCUCCAGGCUAGGACCUGACCUGCAGGGGUAGAGACUGCUUAGAUCCACAAACGGUAGUAGCUCCCGGGGCAGAGGCCAUUUUGAACCUCCGUUCCCUCGUUUGUGAAAAAUAGUCCUAAUAGCCAGGAUCCAGGAAAGGUAUAGACACUGAGGAAGAUCACCUGUGCAAAACUGGCUGACAACUUGGUUCACACUUUCCAGUCCGUGAAAAUGGAAGGCCACUUCCCAGGGGUGAAAUAGAGCCCUUUGGAAGCUUAGGAUUCUCAGAAUCAGGUUGGAAGAACUGGGCAAAGAGGGACAAAGGUGACGAACCAUCAGGAGAGCAAAGGAACUUCUAAGUACAGUCUCUUGACUGCUUGUAUUUUCAAACGCAACGGAUUAGGAGGAAAUUGCGGUUGGGUCAGAGGUAGAGAUGAAGAUUCACAAGGGAGAAGAGAGGCCCGCAGCCCUCGACUGCUAGGCUCAGGGUCAGACCUCCUGGUGAGCAGACUCCGGGCUUCUGAGUCAGGCUGCAAAGAUGAAUGAAGAUUCUGUGAAAAGCAGAGCGUACCAGAUCACCUGUGCUCCGGAAGGGGGUGGGUGCAUGCGUGGGAUCCCACCCAAGGUUUACUCCGAGCACUGUUUAUCUAAGAAAGGGGUUAUAAGUUCACAGAAGUGGGGCCCUUCACUUCACCUUGCUUUCUAGUUUGUUGUGACAUGUGACAGAUUCUUGCCUCUUGUGAUUCUGCCCUGUAGAACUCUCCUGACUCCCAGCGCCACUCAGGCAGGAUAAUGAAGUGUUCAGAGUAAA